UUAGAGUUUGAUCCUGGCUCAGAACGAUUUCUGGCGGCGUGGAUAAGACGUGCAAGUCGAACGAGAGAAUUGCUAGCUUGCUAAUAAUUCUCUAGUGGCGCACGGGUGAGUAACACGUGAGUAACCUGCCCCCGAGAGCGGGAUAGCCCUGGGAAACUGGGAUUAAUACCGCAUAGUAUCGAAAGAUUAAAGCAGCAAUGCGCUUGGGGAUGGGCUCGCGGCCUAUUAGUUAGUUGGUGAGGUAACGGCUCACCAAGGCGAUGACGGGUAGCCGGUCUGAGAGGAUGUCCGGCCACACUGGAACUGAAACACGGUCCAGACACCUACGGGUGGCAGCAGUCGAGAAUCAUUCACAAUGGGGGAAACCCUGACGGUGUGACGCCGCGUGGGGGAAUUGAAGGUCUUCGGAUAGUAAACCCCUGUCAUGUGGGAGCAAAUUAAAAAGAUAGUACCACAAGAGGAAGAGACGGCUAACUCUGUGCCAGCAGCCGCGGUAAUACAGAGGUCUCAAGCGUUGUUCGGAAUCACUGGGCGUAAAGCGUGCGUAGGCUGUUUCGUAAGUCGUGUGUGAAAAGGCGCGGGCUCAACCCGCGGACGGCACAUGAUACUGCGAGACUAGAGUAAUGGAGGGGGAACCGGAAUUCUCGGUGUAGCAGUGAAAUGCGUAGAUAUCGAGAGGAACACUCGUGGCGAAGGCGGGUUCCUGGACAUUAACUGACGCUGAGGCACGAAGGCCAGGGGAGCGAAAGGGAUUAGAUACCCCUGUAGUCCUGGCAGUAAACGGUGCACGCUUGGUGUGCGGGGAAUCGACCCCCUGCGUGCCGGAGCUAACGCGUUAAGCGUGCCGCCUGGGGAGUACGGUCGCAAGAUUAAAACUCAAAGAAAUUGACGGGGACCCGCACAAGCGGUGGAGUAUGUGGCUUAAUUCGAUGCAACGCGAAGAACCUUACCUGGGCUUGACAUGUAAUGAACAACAUGUGAAAGCAUGCGACUCUUCGGAGGCGUUACACAGGUGCUGCAUGGCCGUCGUCAGCUCGUGUCGUGAGAUGUUUGGUUAAGUCCAGCAACGAGCGCAACCCCUGUUGCCAGUUACCAGCACGUGAAGGUGGGGACUCUGGCGAGACUGCCCAGAUCAACUGGGAGGAAGGUGGGGACGACGUCAGGUCAGUAUGGCCCUUAUGCCCAGGGCUGCACACGUACUACAAUGCCCAGUACAGAGGGGGCCGAAGCCGCGAGGCGGAGGAAAUCCUGAAAACUGGGCCCAGUUCGGACUGUAGGCUGCAACCCGCCUACACGAAGCCGGAAUCGCUAGUAAUGGCGCAUCAGCUACGGCGCCGUGAAUACGUUCCCGGGCCUUGCACACACCGCCCGUCA
Molecule: ribosomal RNA, 1374 nt
Filed under: uncultured bacterium
Lineage: Bacteria
Description: bacterial SSU rRNA
Rfam family: Bacterial small subunit ribosomal RNA
Source: RNAcentral